This 374-nucleotide ribosomal RNA is filed under the name uncultured organism. Its description in RNAcentral is "partial 16S ribosomal RNA". It matches the Rfam family "Bacterial small subunit ribosomal RNA", at positions 527 to 896 of the family's 1533-position model. The record is from RNAcentral.
GUAGGUGGCAAGCGUUGUCCGGAAUUAUUGGGCGUAAAGCGCGCGCAGGCGGUUUUUUAAGUCUGAUGUGAAAGCCCACGGCUCAACCGUGGAGGGUCAUUGGAAACUGGAGAACUUGAGUACAGAAGAGGAAAGCGGAAUUCCACGUGUCGCGGUGAAAUGCGUAGAGAUGUGGAGGAACACCAGUGGCGAAGGCGGCUUUCUGGUCUGUAACUGACGCUGAGGCGCGAAAGCGUGGGGAGCAAACAGGAUUAGAUACCCUGGUAGUCCACGCCGUAAACGAUGAGUGCUAAGUGUUAGGGGGGUUUUCCGCCCCCCUUAGUGCUGCAGCUAACGCAUUAAGCACUCCGCCUGGGAGUACGGCCGCAAGGCUG